RNAcentral lists this small nuclear RNA (191 nucleotides) under Phascolarctos cinereus (koala). RNAcentral describes it as "U2 spliceosomal RNA (ENSPCIG00000033108.1)". It matches the Rfam family "U2 spliceosomal RNA". From Rfam's summary of the family: U2 is a small nuclear RNA (snRNA) component of the spliceosome (involved in pre-mRNA splicing). Complementary binding between U2 snRNA (in an area lying towards the 5' end but 3' to hairpin I) and the branchpoint sequence (BPS) of the intron results the bulging out of an unpaired adenosine, on the BPS, which initiates a nucleophilic attack at the intronic 5' splice site, thus starting the first of two transesterification reactions that mediate splicing. The record is from Rfam by way of RNAcentral. Lineage: Eukaryota; Metazoa; Chordata; Mammalia; Diprotodontia; Phascolarctidae.
AUCGCUUCUCGGCCUUUUGGCUAAGAUCAAGUGUAGUAUCUGUUCUUAUCAGUUUAAUAUCUGAUACGUCCUCUAUCCGAGGACAAUAUAUUAAAUGGAUUUCUGGAGCAGGGAGAUGGAAUAGGAGCUUGCUCCGUCCACUCCACGCAUCGACCCGGUAUUGCAGUACUUCCGGGAACGGUGCACCUCCC